Oncorhynchus tshawytscha (Chinook salmon) is the source of this 318-nucleotide long non-coding RNA. The record is from Ensembl. NCBI's taxonomy places the organism in Eukaryota, Metazoa, Chordata, Actinopteri, Salmoniformes, Salmonidae.
CAGGUGUAGGUAGACCUUACAGUGAAAUGCUGAAUACAACAGGUGUAGUAGACCUUACAGUGAAAUGCUGAAUACAACAGGUGUAGGUAGACCUUACAGUGAAAUGCUGAAUACAACAGGUGUAGGUAGACCUUACAGUGAAAUGCUGAAUACAACAGGUGUAGGUAGACCUUACAGUGAAAUGCUGAAUACAGCAGGUGUAGUAGACCUUACAGUGAAAUGCUGAAUACAACAGGUGUAGUAGACCUUACAGUGAAAUGCUGAAUACAACAGGUGUAGGUAGACCUUACAGUGAAAUGCUGAAUACAACAGGUGUAG